Molecule: long non-coding RNA, 708 nt
Filed under: Numida meleagris (helmeted guineafowl)
Lineage: Eukaryota; Metazoa; Chordata; Aves; Galliformes; Numididae
Description: lncRNA (ENSNMEG00000011458.1)
Source: RNAcentral
AAGUGCUUGAUGAAUUUUUAUAUAACAACUGAUCAUUGUCCAUACUUCUAUUCAUCUACAGCCUUCCUGCUCGGAAAUGAUUCCUGCAGGAGUAGAUAUUUUUCCACUCAUUGAUCUUGAAGGAGGGAAAGGUGAAUUAAUAGGCAUAGCUCCUGUUUCUGCCAGAAAUCUUUGUAUGACCGGAAGGCUUAAAGGACCAUUAUUAUAAUACAGUGUGAGCAGAACAACACAGAUUACAAAAAUGUCACUGAAUUAACUACUUGUUGCUGGAAAUGUGCAGAUGUCCAACCAUAUUCACUUGGCACUAGAAAAGAACAAACACCCACAGUGAUGCCACAGGGCUGACCUAGUUCUCGGUAAGUGGCCCCUUGAUGUGCACUUCAUCAUACAGAGCAAGUGUUGCAGACUAUAACAAUUCUCUGAAGGAUUUCCAAAAUCUGUUUAUAUAGGAAGGGUACGAUGAAUGUAGCGGUUCCUGAAAACUUUCCUGCGUAGCAGUAAAGAAAAAUGAAUUUACCACUUACACCAUGUUCCAGAAAAUCUUUUCCAUGCCUAGGCCUAAUGUGACUGUAUCUUAGAAAGCUGUAGAACAUAAAAAAAAAAAAAAAAAAGAAAAAAAGAAAAAAAGAAGUGGAACUUGGAGAGCUAGAAGUAAGUUGGGGCACUUGGGGAAAUAAAGAGAAACAGAUCUAGGGGAAAAGCCUAUUC